Molecule: long non-coding RNA, 342 nt
Organism: Panthera uncia (snow leopard)
Lineage: Eukaryota; Metazoa; Chordata; Mammalia; Carnivora; Felidae
Exons: 2
Source: RefSeq, a predicted model, not a curated record
UAAAGCUCUGUGAAGAAUAUAUGUGAUUACUUUCUAAAAUGGCAUAUUGAAGAUGGAGUUGACAAGGCUGGAGCCCAAACAUCAAAAACUGACAUGUCCUCCUGAGGACUGAGGAUAAUACAGCUAUGAAGACCCUCUCAAGGCUACCAGUGACUGGGAAUAAUCUGAGAGCUUCAUUCAACACCAUGUCAAGAUACUCCAUCUGUACAAGGGCAUCAUAACUGGGACGUUCCUGGAAGAAAGAAACAUACUUUGAUAAAUUGAGAUUUGGUGUACGCAGUACUACUGAAGUGUUAGAAACACUUACGAAUCAUUUGUUUUGGUAAAGGGCAUUUAUGAACA